Long non-coding RNA from Oryza sativa Japonica Group (Japanese rice), 2184 nucleotides. RefSeq lists it as uncharacterized. The record is from RefSeq and is a predicted model, not a curated record. NCBI's taxonomy places the organism in Eukaryota, Viridiplantae, Streptophyta, Magnoliopsida, Poales, Poaceae.
UUUCAUUGUCAAUCUGGCACAGAAAGUUUGACGAACACGCCUAUGUAAACCACUGCGAAGACUUGAGGCGACUACUCGAGUACUGCAAACCGGACAACAUUAUUUGCUCGUGGAUAAAAACUCGUAUCAACGUUACAUCGCGUGGAAUAUCUGGACGGAAUCUCGGAUCGUUCGAAAGCCUAACACGCUUGGACGCGACUCCGUGUGGAAUAAGUCCACUUCCCUCCCUAAACUCAUGGCAUUCUAAGAAAAACAUUCCUCAACCACAAAAUCGGGUAUAACUCAUCCCCAACUUCGAAAACCAUUGCAAAUCAACUCCCUGGACGAUUUUGGAGGCGGUUUUGUCCUACGUGACGCUUACGUGGCAGGCUGACUUGGUCCAAAUGUGCUGAUGUGGCAGCCAGGUCAUCAAAGGAAUUGAAAAUAUAAGUGGGUCCCAUAUGUAAGUGACAAAUGUUAAAACAAAACAAAUGGUGGGGCCCACUUGUCAGUCCAUUUUUUCUUAUCUUCUUCCUUCCUUCUAUCUUUUUCUUGCAGCCGCACGUGCGGAGGCGGAUUCGGCCGGGCAGCGGCGCCCUUCUCAUCCCGGAGAGCUUCUCCCUUGCGCCCGGCCGGCCGCAGCCUCCCGGCGAGCUCCUCCCCCGCACCCGGCCGCUCACGACCUCCCGGCGCCUGGCGAGUUCCUCCCCUGUGCGCGGUCGGCUGCGACCUCCCGGCGAGUUCCUCCCCCACCGCCACCGCCCACGGGGAGAGGAUCUUGCCGGCCUGCUACCAUCGCCGCGUUUCCCCCUCCAAUCCGCCACCAUCGUCGCCGGCCGAUGCCCCCUCCUCCCCCGCUGACGCCGCCCACGGGGAGAGGAUCUUGCCGAGGCCACGCGUAGGGAGAGGAGAUCGUCGUCCUGCCGCCACCGCCGCGUUUCCCCCUCCAAUCCGCCACCCCCGUCGCCGGCCGAUGCCCCCUCCCUCACCGCCGCUGCCCACGGGGAGAGGAUGUCGCCGGGAGGCCGCAUGCUAGGGUGAGAUCUCGCCGGCCUGUCGCACAUGGGGGAAGGAGCUCGCCGGGAAGCCACGCGCUAGGGUGAGAGCUCGCAAGGCGGUCGCGUGUUGGGGAGGGAGCUCGCCGGGCCGGCCUACCGCUGUUGCUGCUUCCACACCGCCGCCGCUACCGUUUCCACCGCCUCUUCUCCUUGACCAUCGCCGCCGCUACCGUCUCCUCCCGCCGCCCCGCCGCUCGCCGAGCUCCCGCCGUCCUGCCGUCCCGCCUCUCCCGCGGUCCCACCACCCCAUCGCUCCCGCCGUUCUGGUGCCACCGGGCUCACGGAGCUCUCUCCAUCUCACUCGCGGUGAGGAUAAAGAGAGGGAAGAAAGUGCCACGUAAGCGCCACGUUGAUGCCACAUAGGUUGAAGACCAAGUCAACCCGCCACAUAAGCACCACGUAGGACAAAACCGCCUCUAAAACUUGAUUUGCAACGGUUUUCAGAGUUGGGGAUGGGUUAUACCCGGUUUUACGGUUGAGGAAUGCUAUUCAUACACGGCCAUGAGUUGAGGGAGAGAUAGUGGACUUAUUUCACUCCAUGUCCGUCGAGACACCCGGGUUGGGUUGGGCCCGCGGAAACUCGGCGUCUGCGAAAUGGGCCUGACGUGAUGCGGGCCAUAUGGCCCUUGUGAAGCCGGCAACAAAGUGGGCCAACUCCGGAGGAAAAAAGAAAAAACAAAAAACGAGCCCCGUUUCUACCGCGGACAGUGGCCAACUCCGGUGGAAUUUCUUGACGUCUCCCUCGAAGCGCUCUAACAAUGGCGGACACCUGCCACCACCAGGAGUCCAGGACGCUCCAUUCGUGCGCCGACCAAGCUCGCCUCUCCUCACAUCGUGUGUCGUCCUUCUCACCGACUCCACGCAUUCUCACGUGUGCGGAUUGAUCGGAGCAUAUGCUGUUGAGAAGUUCAGAUAUAGUAUAUCAGAGAACAUCAGAACAGGCAGUACUCUAAUUGCUUGCUUGCUUUAUUGGUUCUGCAAAAUUGCUGUAUGUAUCCCUGUAAAUAUGUUUACAUUGUUCUCUCUACUUUAUUAAUACAUAGUACGGGGUAAAAACUUUUGCCCUCUUUUCAAAAGAAAAAAAGAUUUAUGUAUGUAUUGCAGUCUUGGAUUACUAAAGUAAGUUGAAUCCCGAACAGAAAAUGCA